This 165-nucleotide ribosomal RNA is filed under the name uncultured bacterium. Its description in RNAcentral is "partial 16S rRNA". It matches the Rfam family "Bacterial small subunit ribosomal RNA", at positions 355 to 512 of the family's 1533-position model. The record is from RNAcentral.
UAGGGAAUCUUCCACAAUGGGCGCGAGCCUGAUGGAGCAACACCGCGUGAGUGAAGAAGGGUUUCGGCUCGUAAAGCUCUGUUGUUAAAGAAGAACACGUAUGAGAGUAACUGUUCAUACGUUGACGGUAUUUAACCAGAAAGUCACGGCUAACUACGUGCCUAG